RNAcentral lists this non-coding RNA (26 nucleotides) under Rattus norvegicus (Norway rat). Lineage: Eukaryota; Metazoa; Chordata; Mammalia; Rodentia; Muridae. The record is from RNAcentral.
CAGAGGCCUACCCUGGUUGAUCCUAC